UAGUGUCUUCCCUGCAGGUGUCUAUAGAAUGGGUUCAGGACAGCAGCUGAGAGAGAGCUUUAUAGGCCUUCUGGUCUGAUAGUGAAAGCCCUGGAGAUGUUAUCUGUGGGUGGACUUUAAAAAAAAAGUCUGUGACACUGGAGACACUGAAUGAAAGACAGGGAGGUGUUUAUAGGACUGAACAUUUCCUUUAUAGUUUUACUAUACAAUAUGCCCUAGAACUGUCCUAUUUAUAUAGUAGAUUAAACACUCUAGAACACAACAAAUGCCAGAAAGAUAAAGUUAGUAAACACUAACUCAGAGAUGAACAAGACAUUUUAUUUUCAGUAGAGUUUGCUUUGUCUGUGAAAUUAGCUUUCCUUUCCUCUUUCUGGUUUUAUUAAAAUGUGUCACAGCCGCUUUUACGAAGAACAUUUGAUGCAUUUUUUUAAUCUCUCAGGUUUUUUUGUCACUUGCCUCUUUUGC
Pelobates cultripes (western spadefoot toad) is the source of this 465-nucleotide non-coding RNA. Lineage: Eukaryota; Metazoa; Chordata; Amphibia; Anura; Pelobatidae. The record is from the annotation of a GenBank genome assembly.